RNAcentral lists this ribosomal RNA (538 nucleotides) under uncultured archaeon. RNAcentral's name for it is "bacterial SSU rRNA". It matches the Rfam family "Archaeal small subunit ribosomal RNA", at positions 4 to 517 of the family's 1478-position model. The record is from RNAcentral.
UCGGUUGAUCCUGCCGGACCUACUGCUAUCUGGGUGGGACUUAAACAUGCGAGUCGAACGUUUCACAGCCAUGAGUGAAACGCGGCAUACGGCUCAGUAACACGUGGCUAACCCACCCUCGGGACGGAGACAACCCCGGGAAACUGGGACCAAUGUCCGAUAGGCGAAGACUCCUGNAAUGGGUCUUCACCCAAAAGGCGUUGCGGUCAUGCUCUGUAACGUCGCCCGAGGACGGGGCCGCGGCCGAUCAGGUAGUUGGCGAGGCAACGGCUCACCAAGCCUAUAACCGGUACGGGCCGUGGGAGCGGGAGCCCGGAGAUGGGCACUGAGACAAGGGCCCAGGCCCUACGGGGCGCAGCAGUUGCGAAAACUUGUCAAUGCACGAAAGUGUGAACGGGCUACCCCGAGUGCCGUCCGCUGAGGAUGGCUUUUCUCUGCUGUAAGAAGGCGGAGGAAUACGGAGAGGGCAAGUCUGGUGUCAGCCGCCGCGGUAAUACCAGCUCUCCGAGUGGUAGGGAUGAUUAUUGGGCUUGAAGCG